This 1658-nucleotide long non-coding RNA is filed under the name Sus scrofa (pig). RNAcentral's name for it is "lncRNA (ENSSSCG00050076700.1)". Lineage: Eukaryota; Metazoa; Chordata; Mammalia; Artiodactyla; Suidae. The record is from RNAcentral.
ACAGCUGCCAGAGGGAAAGAGAGCACCCCGUAAAAGAGGGCGGAGGUGGCGUCAGCUUAAACUACCCGGUACACCCAGGUUCCAGGCCCCGUCUUAACCUAAAAACACAGAAAUCACAGUCUGGAGCUUUCAUAACCACUCAAGAGUGUAGAAAGUUAUAGUAACACGAGGAAUGAUGCAACGUUAGAAGGGAGUACAGAAACCCCCAGAAUUAUUACCGGCGGCCUUGAAGUCAAAACGUCUUCCUCAAGUGAGAAAUGCCCUCUUGGCACUUCACCCACUUUCACCUUAGCUAAACCUUGGGGCUGCAAAGUAUAACCAUUUGGUGACCUCACGUCUCAUUGCUGGCAUUACCAGCUUGAGCAGCCAUCCUGUGACUGCAAAGGAACACGCACAUAUUAAGGAUGCUGGGUGAAGGGAAGAGAGAAGGUCCUGGCUCUCCGAGGACGUUGUGGAUAUUCCAGAUCAGCCCUGGACUAAAAAAGACGUAUAUGAUAGGUUUUUGGAACUCCUUCUUUGCACAGCUCCCUCCUCUUUGUGCUUUGCCCCACACACUGCAGCCCCUCCGCCUCUCCAAGGCCUUAUUUCUGGAUUUCUGGCUCAUCAGCGCAGGGAGAGCUCCCUCCUGUGAUAUCUGGAUUUCUCCUCCUGGAACUAUGGUCCAAAAGUCACCCCCAGGAAGAAAGCUGUAACAAACAAAAGAUCACUACAAGUCAACAGAAAUAAAUUCAUUCUCAGAACAAACUUUUUUGGAGUGCUUGUAAGACUUUGCCUGUAAACUGCUUUUAAAGUACACUUUUACUAGGGAGUUCCCAUCAUGGCUCAGCAGAAACGAGUCUGACUCGCAUCCGUGAGGACGUGGGUUUAAUCCCUGGCCUUGCUCAGUGGGUUAAGGAUCCAGCGUUGCAUGUUCAACAUCACUCAUCAUCAGAGAAAUGCAAAUCAAAACCACUCGGAGGUAUCACUUUACACCAGCCAGAAUGGCCUUCAUCAAAGAGUCUACAAACAGUAAGUGCUGGAGAGGGUGUUGAGAAAAAGGAACCCUAGUACACUGUUGGUGGGAUUGUAAAUUGGUGCAACCACUGUGGAAAACAGUAUGGAGAUGCCUCAGAAAACUAAAUAUAGAACUACCAUUUGAUCCAGCAAUCCCACUCCUGUCCAUCUACCCAGAGAAAACCAUGUCUCGCAAAGACACAUGUACACCGAUGUUCAUUGCAGCACUAUUUACAGUAGCCAAGACAUGGAAACAACCUCAAUGUCCAUCAACAGAGGAGUGGAUCCAGAAGAUGUGGUACAUAUACACAAUGGAAUAUUACUCGGCCAUCAAAAAGAAUGAAAUACCGGCAUUUUUAGCCACAUGGAUGGACCUAGAAACUAUCAUGCUAAGUGAAGUCAGACGUACAAUGAGACACCAACAUCCAAUGCUUUCACUGACAUGUGGAAUCUGAAAAAAGGACAGACGGAACUUCUUUGCAGAACAGAUGCUGACUCACAGACAUUGAAACACUUAUGGUCUCCGGAGGAGACAGUUUGGAGGGUGGGGGGAUGUGCUUGGGCUGUGGGAUGGAAAUCCAGUGAAAUCAAAUUGUUAUGAUCAUUACACAACUACAGAUGUGAUAAAUUCAUUUGAGUAAUAAAAAAUUAAAAAAAAAAAAAAA